This is a long non-coding RNA of Ailuropoda melanoleuca (giant panda), 6136 nucleotides long. RefSeq lists it as uncharacterized. The record is from RefSeq and is a predicted model, not a curated record. The transcript is spliced from 4 exons. NCBI's taxonomy places the organism in Eukaryota, Metazoa, Chordata, Mammalia, Carnivora, Ursidae.
CCUCCCCACCGCCCAUCACGACCGCCACCACGGGAGCGAGGGACGUAGGUCUGCACUGUUCACAAGACCGAAGACGAGGUGUGGGCACGACCGGGUCUGGAAGAGAACUGAACGUAGGGCCAGAGCACAAGAAGGGGCGGGGCAGAGAGUACAACGGCGAAUGCGAGCGCGCGUCACUUCGCGCCGCGCCGUAGGAAGAGCGCAUGCGUCGAGGCGUCUCGGCCGGUCGCGGUUGUUGACGCUUGGCCGGCCUGGCGGGGUGGGACUUGGGCACGGCCUGGCGGGGUGGGUUAGCUUGGCCCCUGGCCCGCCUUAGGUCGCUUAGCAACCGCCGGCGGAAGGGUUGCUGCCAAAGGCUCAAGCAGCUACGCUCUCCGGUUGUGGGUCGUCUCGGCGAGAAACAAUUCAGGAAGCCCCGAGGCCCGUGUUAACCGUUCCUGUGCUGACAGCUCUGUAGCAGAACCAAAGGGAAGUUUUAUUUUGUUCAUCGCUUCCUUUUUCUCGCUGCUUCUCUCGCCCAGGCAGGACGUUUCCUUGGGUCCGAAAAGAGAAAGAAAAGGGCUGGAAACCCAGGGAACAGCCCUGAUGCUGCGCUUGAAGUCUGAAUGCCCGAAGCUGGCAGAAUUCCUCCUGGAUCAGGGUUUUCCAGUGUCUCAGCAAGAAGUUCCCUCCUCUCCUGUGGGGUCACCAUCUCCCGGUACUCAAGUCGCCAUCAGUCAGCUUGCCCUACUUUUCCAUGAGACAUCACUGAGGACCCGUGUAAUGCCACAUGUUUGAACAACUUAUGUAGGCACUCCAGAGAAAAUCCAAGGGAAAAGAGGAGUGAGGAAGAAUUCCCUUAUAAAUAAAUUAAAAAGAAAUUAGCAUCUACGUUUAUGACUGACUGGAUGACCCAACUCUUCUGAUCCUCUCGUUCAACAAACCUGCAGAUUUCUUUAUCGGGGUGGAGUUGAGGAAGUUUUAAAAGUGGGCCAAAGCCACAUGGGAACACGGGUCAUAAGUGCAAGGGUCUUCCAUAAAUUGAGCACGGCUGAAGGCUUAAAGGAGGUAAUGUAGAAGUUACCAAACUCCUCCUUUGAGCCCUGGUCUCCUGGUUACACAACUGGCUGAGCCACUUUCCAAAAAGACCCAAACACACUGGCUUUAACAAGACAGGCCUCUGUUUCCCUUUCAGGUGAUAGUAUAAUGGGGGGUGGGGGUGGUCCCGAGCAACAGUUGCUCUGCUCCACAAGGUCACUGGGCAAUGACGCUGACAUACCGGCUUUACACCGUCCACACCUGGAAUCUACCUGUGGGUUCAAGAUGCCAUUCCAGCUGUCCCCUUUCCCAGCCAGGCGGAAGAAGGCAAAGCAAGCAGAGGACUAAGAGCUUUCUUUUCAGGGAAUCCCCUGAGAGCUGCCCUUUUACUUGUGCUCACAUCCCAUUGGCCAGAAGCUUGAGGGAAGCCGGAACAUGAGCCGCCCAAACUCUGCUGGGGAGCGGAUGGGGUCUGACUGCGAAGUGGAAGAAGGUGAGACUGCGUGCCUUGGCGUAGCCAGUGGUUUCUCUCUUCCCUGGUUCUGUGGAGGUGAUUCGGCCCCCUCUGGAGAGUCUGUUAGACCCCGUGGGCAACCCCCACUUCCCCACCCUACUGAAGAAGCUCUACUUUCAUCUGUUUGAGAGUAUGAUCUAAAUUUCUAUCUGAAAAAAACGGGUUUCUACACAUUAGCAAGUCUGAAGACCAUUUUAGAGAUUAGUGUGCCAGCGCGGAAGGGGAAGCUCCAAUCAGUGGGGCACUUGCUACACCUUGGAGCUGGUCGUCACCAUCUGACUAGCAGAACCUGAGCUAAGGGGGUCGGUAACCGACUGGAGCCAGGCUGCGCCGCCUCACACAUGAAGCUCAUUUGCUUUCCCACCCGAUCCGCCUUCCACAUUCAGACCAAACAGUUUCCAAUCUCAGGAGAAAAUAAGAAUCCCAACGUUGAAAAAUCCCAUCUGACUUUGCGUGCGGUCACGGAGGGUGGUGAGCAGAACCAGGGACGUGGAAAGGUACACGUGCAGGAUUAGGCCAUCUGGAUUUGCUCACUGGUGCUGAUGGGAGCUAGGCUCCCACCCUCCUGCAGAGACUGGGAGACAGGGGCCUUUUCCUCAUGUGUUGGCUGGAAUAAACGAAAUUCUUCUGGCAGCUUGAAGCUUUCCCACACAGGAACUUCAGGGGGCUGGAGGAGACAGCCCAGGGACAUGCCAUGACCUGUUAGACACUAUGCUAGUGUUUCUUCCCGUCUCUUAACGCAGGGUUUGGAUGAAGGGGUUAUGUGCCAAGAGUUCUUCUGCAGGGCUCACAGCCCACCGCACUUCCGUAUCUGGGAUCUUUGUGGGUCGGCCCCAGUACAGCACGGCCCUUAGAACAGGGAGACGGAAUCAGACCCAGGGCUUCGCAUCCCUGCCUUGUCCCAAGCGCCUCGGCUGGGAUGGAAAUCUUUUCCUGCACAAGCUGGGAGAAGAGGAGCCUUGGUUCCAUCACCCAUCUUCUUGGUCGUCCUCACAGUUUUACAAAUUAGAAUAGGCCUGUAGUCAUAACCCAGGCCCCCAAGCUUCCUAGAGCAGCCGAGCAGGGCGCAGGACCCCAGGUCACACUUCCUGAGGUGCCUGACUGCUUUGGCUGGGUUGUGGGUUUGAACUCCGACUGCAGAGCACGGCCAGUGGGGCCUGGCUGGCCACAGAGCUUUGCAAAGGCCACAAUCCAGGCUGUCUUCGGAGCUCUAGCCUCCUGCCUAGUACACCGCGCUCCCCAAGUCUUCUCCAUACCCCUCCUCCAACCCCUGCCCUGUCCCCAGAGCACUUUCCUUCUCCCUUUUACACAGGUCCUUGACCCACCCCAGUUACCACGUGUAUUUGCUGGUGCCUUAUAAGUUCAGCCUUUCUUUCUUUUCUUUCUUUCUUUCUCGCAUUCCCUUUUUUUUUUUUUUUUUUUUUUUUUUUUUUUUUUUUUUUUUUUUAGUUACAAGCAACUAGUUACAGGCUCUUUAUUUUCUAGCAGUGUGCCUGCCUGUAACUUUCUUCUUCCUUUGCUCGGUUCAUGCCUUCUCAGCUUCAGCCAUCAGCUGGAACACUGUGCCUCUUCAUUGUACCUUUCCCUGAGCCCCCAGACCAGGUCAAUCUGUGCUCCCUCCCAUCUCCAGACGUGUAUCAAAGUGAGGCCCCAGCUCCUGAAGUCUGAUAGUGGAAAGAGGCAGAGGAACAGAGAAGCAGUUUGCUGGUGCAGCAGAGUGAAGGCAAGGCUGACUCAACCCCGGGAGCAAGGCCAGCAUGUUUGAAAGCAGAAGCUAAAGUGCCAGUGGAGAGGAGAAAGUUGAGGAAGGUGGUGAGGGCAGCAGAGCUGGAGAAGGAGCCCUGGUUUAAAAAAAGCAACGAGAAAAAGGAAAGUAUGUCCAUCGAGACAAAAGAAGCAGGCAUCGCAGGCAUUCCUAGUGCACCUGCCCUGUACCUGUUGCUCAAUAAAUGUUUGAAGGGAGGAGGUGAAAAACUGUGGUUGCCUAUUUCAGAGGACCUCAGUCUUCUUAGGGAAGUAGGAGGUUUAGGUCUUAUGAAAUGUGGGCAUUAGGAGUCAAGGGCCUCUGAAGAAAUAUUCUAAUUUGUUUAUGUAUUAGUUAGGAUUGACUGACCACUGAAGGAUCAACUACUAUAACAAGUAGAGCCGGGGCGCCUGGGUGGCACAGCGGUUAAGCGUCUGCCUUCGGCUCAGGGCGUGAUCCUGAUGUUAUGGGAUCAAGCCCCACAUCAGGCUCUUCUGUUAUGAGCCUGCUUCUUCCUCUCCCACUCCCCCUGCUUAUGUUCCCUCUCUCGCUGGCUGUCUGUAUCUCUGUCGAAUAAAUAAAAAUAAAAUCUUAAAAAAAAAAAAACAAGUAGAGCCAAAAUGCAAGGCUCUACAAUGUAGUCUCUGUGCUAUAGAAUUUUAAUUUUUGCUCACUUGAUAGCCCAGGAUGGGUGUUCAGGUCGGUGACUACCCAGGCUCCACAUCCUCAAGGGCCCAAGAAAGCAGAAAGAACAGGAGAAGCAUGUAAAGGAGGUUCUCGCAGGCCUGGUAUGGAAAGAACACACACUCCCACUCACAUUCCUUUUGAGAGACCUCACCCAUUUGCAAAAACGACUGGAAAAUGUGGUGUAGCUCUGUGCCCCUAGAAGGGAAGAACAGAGCUUGGUAGCCGGCUAGAGGUCUUCACUAUGGUAGGCAGGGUGACGGACCCCAAAGAUGUCCUCGUCCUCGGAAUCUGUGAAUAUAUUGCCUCAUGGGGCAAAAGGGAUUUGCAGAUGUUUGGGAUCCUGAAAUGAGGAUGUUAUUCUGGAUUAUCCCAGAAUUGAUGCAGCGUGAGAAAGACUUUGUCUGGCCAUUGUUGGCUUUGAAGAUGGAAGGGGCCAUAGGAGCAGGUUGCAGACGUCCUGUAGAAGCUGGGAAAGACAAGGAAUGGACUCUCCUCACAGCUUCCGGAAAGAAUGCAGCUUCUGCCGACAUCUUGAUUUUAGGCCAAAGACACCCAUUUUGAACUUCUGGUCUCCAGAAUGCUAAGAUAAUAAAUUUGUGUUGUUUUAAGCCACCAAAUUGUGGCAAUGGGCAACUAAUAAACCACACUUAGUAAUUCCUUUGUAAAAACAUGACCUAUUGGUAGUAUGAAGCAUUAUUUUAAAUUCUAAGAAGAUUGGACUACGUCUUCACCUUCCACCUUGUGCACAAGCCUGCCGACGGCCUCAUGAGCAAUCGGGGACCCAUCAGGCUGGUGGACUUCAAUGUGGACAGGUCCCUGGACCAACAGAAUCGGCCUCACCUGAGCAUUUUCUGCAGCUUCGUAGCCACUCCCUAAAUCAGGAGCUCUGGGGCCCAGUCGUCUGUGUAUUAACGAGCCCACCACAUGAUUCUGACACUUGGGCAAGCUUGAGAACCACUGUUCUAGGACGGGAGCACUGUUCUCGAUUGAAGGAGACCAAAAAGAUGCAGAAACUAAAUUAGCAAUGCACAAGUCUGAACUGAAUAGUUUUAUUCCUGGAACAUUCUUGGGACAUUCCUGGGACAAUUAAAGAAACCUGGAUGGGGUCAGAGCAUUGGAUGGUAGUACUGAGUCAAUGUUAAGUUUCUGAUUUUGAUGAUUUUAUGGUGGUGAGGUAGAAGAUCCUUGCUUGUAGGAAAUAGACACUAAACGUAUUCAAAGGUGAUGGGGUGCCUUGUCAGCAACUUAGUUUUCAAAUGGUUUGGGAAGAAUAGAAGUUUUAUACUGUACUUUCCAUUUUCCUUUGAGACAGUUUCGAGAAAAAAAACAGUAGAUACCAUUUUUCAAAUAUCAGCUUGUCAAAGGUGAAAAAUGUCGACAAUGCCUAGUGUUAGUGAAGGUGUGGGGAAAUAAAAAGUUCUAUGCACUACUGUUGGAAGUAGAAGUUGUUGCAGGAUUUUUGGAUAGCAAGUUUACACUAUCAAAAAUUUAAGGCAAAUUUUGACUCAACAAUUCUGUCUUUAGAAAUGUAACCUUUAAAUAUAACCAAUGAUGUUGUAUGGUGAUAUACAACAUCACCAGUGUUGUAUGGUGAUACUGGUGGUAAGCAUAUCAUAAGGUAUAAACUUGUCAAAUCAUUAUGUGGUACUCCUCAAACUAAUAUAACAUUGUGUGUCAACUAUACUCAGAUAAAAAAAACAUUUUGAAGGCCCCCCAAAAAUUAAUUUUUAUGAUUCUAAAAAAAAAAAGAAAGAAACGUAUCCUUCAGAUAAAUUUCUGUGAGAGAAAAUAUAUUUUAUUGCAAAACUGCUUAUACUAGCAAAAAAACUGGAAACAACUCAAAUGUUUAUCAGUAGGGACUGGUUAAGUUAUGGUAUAACUAUACAGUAAGUUAUGAGGAAGCCCUUAGAAAGAAUGCAAAAGAUGUCAAUGUCCUUUCACAGAGAGGAGAACAACCACAUAAAUGCAUGUACGGUAAGCUUCCUUUCUGUGAAAAAUCUAAAGCAAAUGUUUGGAAGCAAAACUGUCCCCUUUGAACAGUGCAAAGUGCUACCUCAAGUACACUUCCCCUUCUUAUGGGCUCCCUGGUGCUGCUGGGUCUGGUUCCACCAGUGAGAGCCUCUUCUCUGUACAAAUUCUUGAAAGUAUAAAUGCACAGAUUAUUGGUUUGGAUU